RNAcentral lists this telomerase RNA (1824 nucleotides) under Thermothelomyces thermophilus ATCC 42464. Its description in RNAcentral is "Myceliophthora thermophila ATCC 42464 Ascomycota telomerase RNA". It matches the Rfam family "Ascomycota telomerase RNA". The record is from Rfam by way of RNAcentral. Lineage: Eukaryota; Fungi; Ascomycota; Sordariomycetes; Sordariales; Chaetomiaceae.
CACUCUUCAACCUUCAAUCGCCAAAAGCUGCCUUCGCAAUAUCCGGCAGGAAACGUCUCAACCUAACGCACAUCGAACCCAGGAAUCCGGUUCGAGAUGCAGAUUUGGCCAAUUCACAUCGAGAUAUACAGCCACUGACCGCACGUACCAAGCCGACGCGCCCUCCCAGCUCCAAAGGUCUUUCGCCUCGAGCAGCCCUUCUCGCACCGCGCCUCCCCCACAGUUCUCCGAUUCCGGUUUUCCGCAAGGAAUGUCGCCCCGACCGCUCCCCGGGACUGGAAACCCCGCAGUACGUCGCAGCUUCGAUCCCGUAUCGGGUGCCUCUCAAGCUUGCCGCGUUCGGAUCUACUGUGGCCGAUUCCUUGCCCUUUUCACCUCGGCAAGCCAGUCCCGCGGGAGCGAAUCGGUCUCGGAACUUAACCCUAAGCAGAUCUUUGGUCCGUCAAGUCUUGCGCUGCUGAUAGUCAUCCGGCCCUCACCUUCUAUGCCCGCGCCGUCCGACGAGCUGCAGCUGCGGGCCGCUGAAAAGUGGUGCAGUCUCCGCUCUGGCGACGGCAGGGGCUGACCGGCGAGGUCCGAGCUCCAGUCACCCGCCAGGGUGGGCGACCGUCUCUUCCCAUGAGUCCACACGGUAAGCGCCUCUGGCCUGAGGCCGCUCGUCGGGAACGGGACACUGGAACUAGUACUCUGGUCACGAUGGAUUGUCCGUGGCGGUGUUGGCCAGACGGUCGAGGCAAGGCGGGCGCAUUCGAGCAGCUCGGUCUGCUCGCAUGCUCUUUUGUGGUUGUCUCCCGUCGGAGCAGCCUUCGGGAGGAGAGGAAGAGCGCAGUCUCGGCUACACACGAUCAACCAAGGCGUUUCACUCCUCCACCAGCAGCUCGCCUCGCAGGAAUCACCCCUUCUGGGAGUGAGCGAGGGCUGUCAGGUUACACACGGAAACGCCGACGGAUGAUACUACCCCUUCUCGCCGUGCUGUUACGCUCUCGGUACCUCGACUUCCACCUUUUUCACCCUGCAUGCGCACCUAGUCCUCCUGACGACCCAGCCGACCCUCGCGGACCGCGCCGGGGCAAAUACAUCGCCCGACGCGUCAUGGAACCCAACACCAUGAGAUCCCGACCAGGCGCAUUAACCCGUCCUCGUAGGCUCCGUCCUACGUUACGACGGGACGCCAAAGCCCCUGCCCGUGUCUCUAGCACGGCCCUUUCCUCCGCCGGGGGCCUGAAACAUGGUCGAUCGGCACGGAGAUGAUAGCGCGGUUUUUUGAGGAUGUAUUUUGUCCGUGCGGUUACCUGCCCUCCUUUUUUUCCUGCCCAUCCUUCGGGGUGGUGCCGGCGAUGGGAGAGGAAACAAAAACUAGUCCCCGUUGGCAGUGCGACAACACACGGAGAGACCUGGCUUGGGUUGGGCUGUCGACUCUUGGUAUGUUGCGGCUUUGGUUGCCGAUUUUGGCCGGAUCUGCCUCGACGACGACCGGAUUCGGCUGCGGGCUUGGUGCUGUGGCAGGUUUUGACUCGUUGUGGGGGCCGGGUUUGAAGGUUGGGUCGACCGGCUGAAAACCAAUGCGUCGAACUGGGUGCUCCGGAUGAAGGGGCCUGCACGGGGACGGGCCGAGUCGCCGGGACCCAUCUCGAGUUGGAGUCAAAGCUUCGUGCUUGUCUGGUGCCUGGAGCUCGUCCCCUGCAGCUGUCCGGAUUCUGGGUUCCUUCAGGGAGGGCUUUGUGUUUGCGGUUCGACCGUUUGGAAAAGGACGGGCCCGUUGGUGGGUGGUCCUGGUUGUCCUCUCUCCAGAAAUGGCGGGAGGGCAACCCCUCUUUUUGGAGG